RNAcentral lists this long non-coding RNA (3163 nucleotides) under Salmo salar (Atlantic salmon). Its description in RNAcentral is "lncRNA (ENSSSAG00000119741.1)". Lineage: Eukaryota; Metazoa; Chordata; Actinopteri; Salmoniformes; Salmonidae. The record is from RNAcentral.
GUGGUAACAUGACAGUGUGUUAUCAGAGGACUGAGACCAGAUGGGGGUGUAAUAGGUGGUGACAUGACAGUGUGUUAUCAGAGGACUGAGACCAGAUGGGGGGUGUAAUAGGUGGUGACAUGACAGUGUGUUAUCAGAGGACUGAGACCAGAUGGGGGGCUGUAAUAGGUGGUAACAUGACAGUGUGUUAUCAGAGGACUGAGACCAGAUGGGGGGCUGUAAUAGGUGGUGACAUGACAGUGUGUUAUCAGAGGACUGAGACCAGAUGGGGGGGUGUAAUAGGUGGUGACAUGACAGUGUGUUAUCAGAGGACUGAGACCAGAUGGGGGGUGUAAUAGGUGGUGACAUGAGGGUGGGUAUAAUUUGUGGAACGUUCCAACAGGAAUCUGUUACAAAAACUCUGUAAAUAUCAAGGUUGCCAACAAACAACAUCAAACAAAGUCGUAUAACGGUAGAAUGAGAUACCGGGUAGAGAGUGAACAAUGUAAUAACGUUUUUCAACCACCACGUUUAUUCUGAAAAAUGUCUCUCUUCGUUCUGGUAGCCUCCACCAUUCCUCGUUCGUUGGUUUAGUUAUUAUUUCCGGUGUUCCUGCAUUCGCCAGGUGAACUCUGUUGCGCCUCAAUUAGGGAAUCGCUAUGGUUGAAAUGUAACUAAUGACUGCCAGCCCCAGUAUUUUAUUAGCUAGGUGGCUUGGACACAAUUGUUACCGAUGAUACUGUAUACACCAGCCUACUCGUACUACAGAAACAUACAUUGUAUUUUGCCAAGUUCUGUCUGUGUUAAUCCUGUUUCCCAAAUAUAUCAGCUUGUGUCUGUGUCGAUGUUGUUUAGUUCAAGGUGCCUAGUUAAAUAAAGAUUAAAUAAAUUAGAACAUAUAAAAUAUAUGCUUUGACCUAUUCCAGGUAACCUAAAGAUGCUUGAUUCACUACAGCUGCUUUUGAAGAACUUUCCAGUCGUUUUUGCUUUACAUUCCGACUUUACAUUCCGACUCUACAUUCCGACUCUACAUUCCGACUCUACAUUCCGACUCUACAUUCCGACUCUACAUUCUGACUCUACAUUCUGACUCUACAUUCUGACUCUACAUUCUGACUCUACAUUCUGACUCUACAUUCUGACUCUACAUUCUGACUCUACAUUCUGACUCUACAUUCCGACUCUACAUUCCGACUCUACAUUCCGACUCUACAUUCCGACUCUACAUUCCGACUCUACAUUCCGACUCUACAUUCUGACUCUACAUUCCGACUCUACAUUCCGACUCUACAUUCUGACUCUACAUUCCGACUCUACAUUCCGACUCUACAUUCUGACUCUACAUUCCGACUCUACAUUCCGACUCUACAUUCUGACUCUACAUUCUGACUCUACAUUACUACUUAACCAACAAUUUCGUUUUAAGAAAAAUGUGUUAAGUAAAAAAUAAGAAAUAAAAGUAACAUAACUAAAGAGCAGCAGUAAAAUCAAAAUAGCGAGGCUCUAUACAUGGGGUACCGGUUAGUCGAGGUAAUUGAGGUGUUCCUUUCAAGUCCAGUGGUGUAAAUUACUUAACAAAAAUGUUUUUAAACUACUCCACUACAUUCCGUUUAUAUAUCUGGUUAUUUUGUAUCUGUACUUUUACUCUUUCUGUUUCUUUACAUUUUACUUCACUACAUUUCUAAAUAAAUUUAUGUAUUUUUUACUCCAUAGAGUUUCCCUGGCAUACAAAAGUACUUGUUUCAUUUCGAAUGCUGAGCCGGACAGGAAAAUGGUCCAAUUCACACACUGAUCAAGACAACAUCCCUGGUCGUCCCUACUGCCUCUGAUCUGGAGGACUCACUAAACAGAGAACAUCCCUGGUCGUCCCUACUGCCUCUGAUCUGGAGGACUCACUAAACAGAGAACAUCCCUGGUCAUCCCUACUGCUUCUGAUCUGGAGGACUCACUAAACAGAGAACAUCCCUGGUCGUCCCUACUGCCUCUGAUCUGGAGGACUCACUAAACAGAGAACAUCCCUGGUCAUCCCUACUGCCUCUGAUCUGGAGGACUCACUAAACAGAGAACAUCCCUGGUCGUCCCUACUGCCUCUGAUCUGGAGGACUCACUAAACAGAGAACAUCCCUGGUCAUCCCUACUGCCUCUGAUCUGGAGGACUCACUAAACAGAGAACAUCCCUGGUCGUCCCUACUGCCUCUGAUCUGGAGGACUCACUAAACAGAGAACAUCCCUGGUCAUCCCUACUGCCUCUGAUCUGGAGGACUCACUAAACAGAGAACAUCCCUGGUCAUCCCUACUGCCUCUGAUCUGGAGGACUCACUAAACAGAGAACAUCCCUGGUCAUCCCUACUGCCUCUGAUCUGGAGGACUCACUAAACAGAGAACAUCCCUGGUCAUCCCUACUGCCUCUGAUCUGGAGGACUCACUAAACAGAGAACAUCCCUGGUCAGCCCUACUGCCUCUGAUCUGGAGGACUCACUAAACAGAGAACAUCCCUGGUCAUCCCUACUGCCUCUGAUCUGGAGGACUCACUAAACAGAGAACAUCCCUGGUCAUCCCUACUGCCUCUGAUCUGGUGGUCUCACUAAACAGAGAACAUCCCUGGUCAUCCCUACUGCUUCUGAUCUGGUGGUCUCACUAAACAGAGAACAUCCCUGGUCAUCCCUACUGCCUCUGAUCUGGAGGAUUCACUAAACAGACCACAUCCCUGGUCGUCCCUACUGCCUCUGAUCUGGAGGACUCACUAAACACAUGCUUCAUUUGUAAAUGAUGUCUGAUUGUUGGAGUGUUCCCCUGGUUAUUUCUUAAAUAAAAUAACAAGAGAAUCGUGCUGUCUGGUUUGCUUAAUAUAUGGAAGGUCAAAUCAUUUAUACUUUUACCACUGAUACUUAAGUAUAUUUUAGCAAUGACGUUUACUUAGUAUUUUACUGGGUGACUUUCACUUUUACUUGAGUCAUUUUCUAUUAACAUCGUCUUAUUAUUGUACCUUUUUCCCUUCAUUUGCCUCCUACUGUCUAUAAGCUGUCAUAACAUGUGGGUUUUUUCAUGGGGACCAGGUAUCAGAACGCCUUUGAAGGGUCUACAAAGCCCCCAGGUAAAAGUAGGCUUUUGCAGACAAGGAUUGUAUUGUUACUCCACGACAUAAUAUGUUAUCACAACUCUAUUAAAAGGACAUUCUACACAA